This 126-nucleotide non-coding RNA is filed under the name unclassified sequences. RNAcentral's name for it is "Betaproteobacteria-1 RNA". It matches the Rfam family "Betaproteobacteria-1 RNA". The record is from Rfam by way of RNAcentral.
AUUGAUGUUGGACGGGGAACAAACCACACCAGCGAUAUCAGUCGUAAGCAGACUGGGGGUAAGUAGAUGUAACACUGCACAUAUCGGUGGCGAAGCUAGUGCCGAUUCUACGAACGACUGGCGGGU